Molecule: long non-coding RNA, 879 nt
Filed under: Olea europaea subsp. europaea
Lineage: Eukaryota; Viridiplantae; Streptophyta; Magnoliopsida; Lamiales; Oleaceae
Source: RNAcentral
CACUGAGCAUUGUAAGCAACCUUAAGCUGAUUAAACUUGCUAGGAAGGCUAUUCAAUACAUGAUAGACUAGGAAGGGCUCCACAAUCGGAAUGUCAAGAGCCUUUAGCUUAGAUGAUAUAUUUAUUAUUUUUAUGACAUGUUCCCUAACACCACUUGUACCAUCAUAUUUCAUGCUUAUAAAUUUAUCCAUCAGAUCCCCAGUUUCGAUUUUAUCAGACUCAACAAAUUUUUCUCCUAUGGCAUCUAUAAAACUUUUGGCAUUUUCAUUAUCAGGGAUAGCACCUAGAAUGGAAUCAGAUAUCGAUCGCUUAAUGAUUUUUAAAUAGAGUUUGUUAGCCCUUUCCCACUUUUCAUGCUCGACUACAUAUUCAACGGUACUUUUAUCUGUGAGUUUUUAAAACUUUUUCUCCAUUGCAAAAUCCAAGCCCAAAAGACCAAGUGCUAUUUUUACGUCUCGUUUCCAUCUCACAUAGUUAUUUCCAGUCAAUGUUUCAAUAGCAGACAAUUGAUUCGAAAGAGAUGAGGCAUUAUAAACUGUGGAAACAUAAAAUAUCACACUCUUAAUAUCAUCCAAACUUAAUGCAUACAAUCAAAUGGAUGAUGAAAUAUCUAACUAAUUAAUAUGGGCUAUUAAUUAGAUAAUCCGUAAUUUAAAUCGAAACAUAUGAAUUUUAUUACGGUAAGAGCCUAGGUGCAUCAUCAUAAAGUCACCUUUUGGUCGACAAUACAACAUGCUAUAAGGUACUCUUAAAACACAUCAUGCAGCCAGUUAACAAAAUUACACUGAUUUUCGAAACACCAACACCUUUGGGCAGAAGGAAAUUUUUAAACCAAAAUAAGCUUGUUAACUUUCUCAUGCCAUUUUCCAAAAAUAUUAC